Molecule: ribosomal RNA, 522 nt
Filed under: uncultured bacterium
Lineage: Bacteria
Description: bacterial SSU rRNA
Rfam family: Bacterial small subunit ribosomal RNA
Source: RNAcentral
CUUAGGACGAACGCUGGCGGCGUGCCUAAUACAUGCAAGUCGAACGGUCUUUCUAUGGAAGCUUGCUUCCACUGAGAAGAUAGUGGCGGACGGGUGAGUAACACGUGGGUAACCUGCCCAUAAGAGGGGGAUAACAUCCGGAAACGGGUGCUAAUACCGCAUAGUUCUCUUGAUCGCAUGAUCGAGAAAGGAAAGACGGCCUUUGUGCUGUCGCUUAUGGAUGGACCCGCGGCGUAUUAGUUAGUUGGUGAGGUAAUGGCUCACCAAGACGAUGAUACGUAGCCGACCUGAGAGGGUGAUCGGCCACAUUGGGACUGAGACACGGCCCAAACUCCUACGGGAGGCAGCAGUAGGGAAUCUUCCGCAAUGGACGAAAGUCUGACGGAGCAACGCCGCGUGAGUGAAGAAAGGUUUUCGGAUCGUAAAACUCUGUUGUCAGAGAAGAACAAGUUGGAGAGUAACUGCUCCAGCCUUGACGGUAUCUGACCAGAAAGCCACGGCUAACUACGUGCCAGCCGCCGC